Molecule: ribosomal RNA, 253 nt
Filed under: uncultured bacterium
Lineage: Bacteria
Description: partial 16S ribosomal RNA
Rfam family: Bacterial small subunit ribosomal RNA
Source: RNAcentral
GACGUAGGGCGCGAGCGUUGUCCGGAUUUAUUGGGCGUAAAGAGCUCGUAGGCGGCUUGUUGCGUCAGCUGUGAAAACCCGCAGCUCAACUGUGGGCUUGCAGCUGAUACGGGCAGGCUUGAGUUCGGUAGGGGAGACUGGAAUUCCUGGUGUAGCGGUGAAAUGCGUAGAUAUCGAGAGGAACACCUGCGGCGAAGGCGGGUUGCUGGGCUGAUACUGACGCUGAUGCGCGAAAGCCAGGGGAGCGAACGGG